Long non-coding RNA from Sapajus apella (tufted capuchin), 711 nucleotides. RefSeq lists it as uncharacterized. The record is from RefSeq and is a predicted model, not a curated record. The transcript has 2 exons. Lineage: Eukaryota; Metazoa; Chordata; Mammalia; Primates; Cebidae.
UUUGGAGCAAGUGUAUUUGCUCAAUGCCUAUACCCCCAUUGUAUCAAGGAAGUAACUAACUUGUUUUUGAUUUUGCAGGCUCAUAUGCAGAAGGGACUUGUCUCAGAGGAAACUUUGGGCUUGGACUUUUGAGUUAAUGCUAGGAUGAGACCCUGGCCAAUGGAUGAAAUGAGUACUUAGACAUGUGUAUGCUGUGUAAGAGCAGCUAAGUGACUGCCUGUCUCUAGUGGCCAGAAAGCCCCGAGAAACUGGAGCGAUUGCUUUUAUUCAGUGCAGGCACAAUGUUGAAAACCUGGAGACAUCACAACCUGUAGGUAUUUAACAUUUAUUAACCCUCUUUCAGGGAACAUCAUGCACGGAUGAUCAAAGGUCAAUUCCUGAUCCACAUAAGUAAACAAGCCUGUUUAAAAUAAAUUCCUCCACACCCCCUUGUACCUACUCCUUGCCCUCUGCCUCAGGGUUAUAAAACAGCUGCCUUCAGCUUUUCUCCUCCGGGGCUCUGUAGAACCUUCUGACCUUUCAGAAAGUUUGUGUCCUUUCCCUAUAAUUUUUCCCACCACUCUGAUCAAUCCCCUACACCAUGUGAAGAAAAACAUGUUUGCUUCCCCUUCCACCAUGACUGUAAGUUUCCAGAGGCUUCCCCAGCCAUGCUGAACUAUGAGUGAAUUAAACCUCUUUCCUUUAUGAAAGUGAAUUAAACCUCUUUCCUUU